RNAcentral lists this non-coding RNA (45 nucleotides) under Schistosoma mattheei. Lineage: Eukaryota; Metazoa; Platyhelminthes; Trematoda; Strigeidida; Schistosomatidae. The record is from RNAcentral.
AUCCAGCUGAUGAGUCUCAAAUAAGACGAAACACGCGUCUUGGAU